GAUGAAGGCUUUCGGGUCGUAAAACUCUGUUGUUAGGGAAGAACAAGUACGAGAGUAACUGCUGUACCUUGACGGUACCUAACCAGAAAGCCACGGCUAACUACGUGCCAGCAGCCGCGGUAAUACGUAGGUGGCAAGCGUUAUCCGGAAUUAUUGGGCGUAAAGCGCGCGCAGGCGGUUUCUUAAGUCUGAUGUGAAAGCCCACGGCUCAACCGUGGAGGGUCAUUGGAAACUGGGGAACUUGAGUGCAGAAGAGAAAAGCGGAAUUCCACGUGUAGCGGUGAAAUGCGUAGAGAUGUGGAGGAACACCAGUGGCGAAGGCGGCUUUUUGGUCUGUAACUGACGCUGAGGCGCGAAAGCGUGGGGAGCAAACAGGAUUAGAUACCCUGGUAGUCCACGCCGUAAACGAUGAGUGCUAAGUGUUAUGGGUUUCCGCCCUUUAGUGCUGCAGCUAACGCAUUAAGCACUCCGCCUGGGGAGUACGGUCGCAAGACUGAAACUC
This 502-nucleotide ribosomal RNA is filed under the name Priestia megaterium. Its description in RNAcentral is "bacterial SSU rRNA". It matches the Rfam family "Bacterial small subunit ribosomal RNA", at positions 407 to 902 of the family's 1533-position model. The record is from RNAcentral. Lineage: Bacteria; Bacillati; Bacillota; Bacilli; Caryophanales; Bacillaceae.